Molecule: small nuclear RNA, 108 nt
Organism: Saimiri boliviensis boliviensis (Bolivian squirrel monkey)
Lineage: Eukaryota; Metazoa; Chordata; Mammalia; Primates; Cebidae
Source: Ensembl
UUGUACCUUUAAUUAUACUCAUAUACUACAAAUGGAACAGCACAGAGAAGGUUAGCAUGGCACCUGCACAACGAUGACACACAGAUUCAUGAAGCAUUCCAUAUAUUU